This is a non-coding RNA of Pseudomonas chlororaphis subsp. aureofaciens 30-84, 88 nucleotides long. The record is from Rfam. NCBI's taxonomy places the organism in Bacteria, Pseudomonadati, Pseudomonadota, Gammaproteobacteria, Pseudomonadales, Pseudomonadaceae.
AUCAAUGGCGGCUGUGCGCGGGAGACCUUCGGGUCUGCCGGGUUUACUAACUUACCGGUUCGCCAACCCGCGUACGGCUGCCACCCAC